Cucumis sativus (cucumber) is the source of this 1034-nucleotide RNA transcript. RefSeq lists it as uncharacterized. The record is from RefSeq and is a predicted model, not a curated record. NCBI's taxonomy places the organism in Eukaryota, Viridiplantae, Streptophyta, Magnoliopsida, Cucurbitales, Cucurbitaceae. The transcript is spliced from 2 exons.
UUCUUUUCCCCUCUCAUUCAAUGGAACCAUUAACUUCUCAAUUCAUGGCUGCCCAUUUCUCUCUUAUCUAAACAGAGAGAGGGAGAGAGAGAAAAAAAAUGGUUGGAGCACAAUUCAAAAAGCACUAAGCACUAAAGAAGGAAAGGGCAAAAACAAAAAAAAAAGAAAUGAAGAAUCUUGAUUCUCUCUCCUCUAUCCCUCAUUUCUGUAUGUGUUUGUGCGUACAAAAUACCCAAUAAUAUUAAUUAUAAAGUCCACUCUCAGGGUCUCACUUCAUCACAGAUCCUACCCUUUCUUCAGCUCUUCGGGAAUCUUAAGCUUCCCCUUUCGCCACCCAACGGGAGGGGAAUUACAGCUAGGAACUUGAGAGUGGGAGAUCCUUUAGACUAUAAAUAUGAGCCUGGCAUGUCUUGUAUGUAAUAGCGUAGAGAGCCCUUCACACUCAUUCAGGAGCUAUUCGGUUUCGAGUUCAGACAAUGAGGGAAGAUGUUCUGCAAUGGCUAACUGCCUAAUAUGGAGACCAUCUUUUCCUCCAACACACCACCCGUCAUAUGCAGCAUCAGCCAAGGUAACUCCCCAACCAACCAUGUCCGACAGCGAUGUAAUGGACGGAACGCCAAGAUUGGUGCGGAGCCGGGCAGUAAGAAGGGACCUAGUACGAGACUGGAAUUUUGAUGAGGUGGUUGUAGUUCAGCAUUAGUACGUUUUACAUUUGAGAUAAGGAGGGCAACAGAGUAAGGUCUUCAAAUGAACAUGGGUGGUGAUGACCUGAAAUGAUGGGAGGAUAGCAUCUUGCUUCCUAUGUAUUUUUGUUUUCUUAUGGGUACAACUGAACUCACACUUCCAUUGGAAGAGUUUGCACAUUUGUAAGCAUGAGAAAAUGUGAUUUAGAACUUUGUUUAUAUAUAACCUAAAUACUACUGAUUCAUAGGAGGCAAGGUUGGGAUGGGUUUAAUUACUUUUGUAAACUUGGAUGGAAUUAUGCUUUAAAAAAUUUUCCAUGAUAUACACCAAGUUUAUUUGCAUAUAAGAAG